GAACUGCGAUAAGUAAUGUGAAUUGCAGAAUUCAGUGAAUCAUCGAGUCUUUGAACGCACAUUGCGCCCCCUGGCAUUCCGGGGGGCAUGCCUGUCCGAGCGUCAUUGCUGCCCUUCAAGCCCGGCUUGUGUGUUGGGUCGUCGUCCCCUCCGGGGGACGGGCCCGAAAGGCAGCGGCGGCACCGCGUCCGGUCCUCGAGCGUAUGGGGCUUUGUCACCCGCUCGAUAAGGACCGGCCGGGCGCCAGCCGGCAUCUCCAACCUUUUUUUCUCAGGUUGACCUCGGAUCAGGUAGGGAUACCCGCUGAACUUAAGC
RNAcentral lists this unclassified non-coding RNA (315 nucleotides) under plant metagenome. Its description in RNAcentral is "partial contains 5.8S ribosomal RNA, internal transcribed spacer 2, and large subunit ribosomal RNA". The stretch from base 1 to 105 matches the Rfam family "5.8S ribosomal RNA", at positions 50 to 154 of the family's 154-position model. The record is from RNAcentral.